UAACAAAAAUCCACCUUUUAAUUGAAGCCUUGUUCCGCUGCAGUAAGGGGUUCUUAAUUAAACUCUCUUUCAAAUCAAGCGCAGUGUUUAUCUAUAAGAAAUGAUUGGCAUGCCCGGCAAGGUGUAUUCUUUUCAACGAAGUCAACCAGUGGAGCAUUCAACAACGUUCUCUUCUAAUCUGAUCUGUUUCGUUUAUCGUUAUGAAGAAGUUCUCAUCUUCGUUGGUUUUCCUGUGCCUCACUGUCUCCGUUUUGCUGUUGGCUUGUUCUCAUGAUGGCGAAGCACUUGCUCCCCUUCCCCCGGGAACGGUAAACGGUGUUAAAAGAAGACAAAUGGGAAAGACCGAGUUGUUUCGUUCCCGAAGGAGCAUCUGUGAGGCCGCGCGAGCUCUGAAUUGCGACUCCAGAGCGGAAGACGAACAAGUCUAGAGUGCAACACCUGACAGCAGAAACCGACCAGAGUUAUGGAAAACGACCGCACUAAACCAAAUUAAAACUAACUAACGUGGCUUGAAUUGUCAAUAAAUAGAUGGAAAUUAAUCCACUUGUCUAUGUUUAAAUGCUAACCUUCGGUGUUAUAUGCCACCUGUUCCUGUUUUUGUCGUUGUACGUUAGUUUGAAAGCUACUUUCCUAUAACGGCUUCCUCUCUAGAACGACUAGAUUACGGCUAACCCUCGGUUAAGGCAACGGAAAAAUUCUUUUCUGAGAUUGGAACGAGAAUGUGUGGCAAAACGCUGCUCAUAAGCAAAUGUCCAAAGUGCGCGAAUUAAAAUUUUCCAGUUCCACCCAACAGGCCCUUACACGGCUUCUGGUACUUUCCAAAGACGAUCACGCGUCGCAUAACCAGCACGCUACUCAAAUGAAAUUACAACAUUUGAGUUUGGUUUAUUUUGCGGGGCGUUUACGAACGAUUUGUGCCAUCGCUUACGCCAUUUCAUCACGUCAAACGCGAUCGUUUGACUGCGCUUUGUCAGUUUCGAGUAAGAAUUUUAAUUUGAGGUGGAAAGUGUACUGAGGGGAAAAGGAAAGUUUUCAGUGAAUUUCACUAUCCGCGUUGAUGGGUAAAGAGAAGAGGAGGCUCUAUGCUGGAUAAAUUAAGUGUGCCGUUAACAAAAUGUUUUUUUUUUCUUUGGAGUAUGAAUAUUAACUUAAAGUUUAAUUUCCUUGCGUUGUCUGCGGAUUUGAAUUGGUUAGAACAUUCCCGAGGAAUAAUUUCCAUCGCGCGGGGGUUCCAGGAACAAAACCCAACUGCUCGAAGGCUACGUGUCUCACUAAGCGAAAACAGUUACAAACUUAACAUUAUUAAAGUUUUCUUCAGUUGCUUAAUCACUUUAUUAACAAUAAAGCCAUGCCAACAUUAACUUGCUCUAAAACUUUGACCGCUAGUCUAUAUUACGGGUCUUUUUCAGAGCAAAAGACUUUACCCUACGCAGGUGCCAUUUCACGAAACGAAUAUUCAUAGUUUCACGAAGAAGCGCCCAAAGACAACGUCUUAGAAUAUUGCUUCUUUCACAGCCAAAGUCUUAAGAUAAAUGGUUGUAGCACGAGUUUAUAUUUUAUUUGAGCAUCCUUAAGGAGUUUAUAUGAUGCUUUAAGGUUAGUAUUGUGGAGCGGUUUUCAGAACUCUUGGGUUCAUGUUCUCGUCUUGCAGGAGUUAUUCGCAGUUCAAUCGUCGAGCAGCGCGACAAAUUCCUCUCUUGAAACUAUUCCCAGGGUUACAGGCCUGUAAAAAGAAAAGAUAUGAAUCGUUAAGAAGACGGACGAAACGCGUGUGGUCAAUUAAAACUCGAGAAUUUUCUAACAAUGAAGGUGUUCCUUUUAGCUCUUUUUUUUUCGGAAAUCCGUCUCGUGCGUUUAGCUGUUGAAAAGACUAGGAUGAAUCUAAAAUGACGAUAAAAACUGAAGUGAUAAAGGCGUUCUGAGAUCGGAUUACAAGUGACAUUGGAAUUUUAAAUUGUCUAAUAAAAUUGUUAUAGGAAAGUGAUUGGUCUUACUAAAAAUGACAUUAAGGCAGGGUUUUUCCCUGGCAAAACGAGGUGUGUGAGCGCGGAGCGCUAUGAACAUGUUUUCCGUAGAUCUUGGAUUGCACUAUUUGGUUUUGUAAUUAUCCUCAAGGUUAAGUCCUGAAUAUCUCAAAAAAA
Long non-coding RNA from Orbicella faveolata, 2141 nucleotides. RefSeq lists it as uncharacterized. NCBI's taxonomy places the organism in Eukaryota, Metazoa, Cnidaria, Anthozoa, Scleractinia, Merulinidae. The record is from RefSeq and is a predicted model, not a curated record.